This 864-nucleotide ribosomal RNA is filed under the name uncultured bacterium. Its description in RNAcentral is "bacterial SSU rRNA". It matches the Rfam family "Bacterial small subunit ribosomal RNA", at positions 51 to 888 of the family's 1533-position model. The record is from RNAcentral.
AGANUGCAAGUCGAACGCGAAAGUCCCCUUCGGGGGGCGAGUAGAGUGGCGCACGGCCUGUAGUAACACGNUAGGUAAUCUACCUUCGGAUGGGGAAUAACAAUCGGAAACGGUUGCUAAUACCGCAUAAUGCAGCGGCACCUAAUGGUGACAGUUGUUAAAGCGGGGGAUCGAAAGACCUCGCGUCUGAAGAGGAGCCUGCGGCGGAUUAGCUUGUUGGUAAGGUGACGGCUUACCAAGGCGACGAUCCGUAGCCGGCCUGAGAGGGCGGUCGGCCACACUGACACUGACAUACGGGUCAGACUCCUACGGGAGGCAGCAGUCGGGAAUUUUGGGCAAUGGGCGAAAGCCUGACCCAGCAACGCCGCGUGAAGGAUGAAAUCCCUCGGGAUGUAAACUUCGCAAGAACGGGAAGAAUAAGCGAGAGUUAAUAUCUUUCGUGAUGACGGUACCGUUUGUAAGCUCCGGCUAACUCCGUGCCAGCAGCCGCGGUAAUACGGGGGGAGCAAGCGUUGUUCGGAUUUACUGGGCGUAAAGGGCGCGUAGGCGGCCAGCGCAAGUCAGUUGUGAAAUCUCCGAGCUUAACUCGGAAAGGUCAACUGAUACUGCGCGGCUAGAGUGCGGAAGGGGCAACUGGAAUUCUUGGUGUAGCGGUGAAUGCGUAGAUAUCAAGAGGAACACCUGCGGCGAAGGCGGGUUGCUGGGCCGACACUGACNCUGANGCGCGAAAGCUAGGGGAGCGAACGGGAUUAGAUACCCCGGUAGUCCUAACCUUUAACGAUGAAUGCUUGGUGUCUGGGGUUAUAAAGUCCCCGGGUGCCNUCCCUUAACGCUUUUAAGCAUUCCGCCUGGGGAAUACGGUCC